CCAGGAUUUAAAGCCUCACUUGGAUUUAAUAU
RNAcentral lists this non-coding RNA (32 nucleotides) under Homo sapiens (human). The record is from RNAcentral. Lineage: Eukaryota; Metazoa; Chordata; Mammalia; Primates; Hominidae.